UACAGAGGUCUCAAGUGUUGUUCGGAUUCAUUGGGCGUAAAGGGUGCGUAGGUGGCGAUGUAAGUCUGGUGUGAAAUCUCGGAGCUUAACUUCGAAAUUGCAUUGGAUACUGCGUUGCUUGAGGAUUGUAGAGGAGAGUGGAAUUCACGGUGUAGCAGUGAAAUGCGUAGAUAUCGUGAGGAAGACCAGUUGCGAAGGCGACUCUCUGGGUAAUUCCUGACACUGAGGCACGAAGGCCAGGGGAGCAAACAGG
Molecule: ribosomal RNA, 253 nt
Filed under: uncultured bacterium
Lineage: Bacteria
Description: partial 16S ribosomal RNA
Rfam family: Bacterial small subunit ribosomal RNA
Source: RNAcentral